RNAcentral lists this signal recognition particle RNA (300 nucleotides) under Canis lupus familiaris (dog). RNAcentral describes it as "Metazoan signal recognition particle RNA (multiple genes)". It matches the Rfam family "Metazoan signal recognition particle RNA". From Rfam's summary of the family: The signal recognition particle (SRP) is a universally conserved ribonucleoprotein. RNAcentral also lists the same sequence under 1 other name. The record is from Rfam by way of RNAcentral. Lineage: Eukaryota; Metazoa; Chordata; Mammalia; Carnivora; Canidae.
GCCGGACGCGGUGGCGCGCGCCUGUAGUCCCAGCUACUCGGGAGGCUGAGGCAGGAGGAUCGCUUGAGCCCAGGAGUUCUGGGCUGCAGUGCGCUAUGCCGAUCGGGUGUCCGCACUAAGUUCGGCAUCAAUAUGGUGACCUCCCGGGAGCGGGGGACCACCAGGUUGCCUAAGGAGGGGUGAACCGGCCCAGGUCGGAAACGGAGCAGGUCAAAACUCCCGUGCUGAUCAGUAGUGGGAUCGCGCCUGUGAAUAGCCACUGCACUCCAGCCUGGGCAACAUAGCGAGACCCCGUCUCUU